GAAGAGGCUCGCUAGGAGAUCAUAGAAUGAUUGAUGAUGAAUAUGGCAGAACCUCUGGAUGGGAAAGAGAUGAAGAUUACGGGCCGAGAAUGUCCCCUGGCCUUGAAGAAUGGAGACAUAGAAGUCGGCGCCACUCUCCUAGUAAAGAAUGGAAAAGACCUAGAAGGUUUGUCCGAAAACCCGUGGUUAAUGUUAUAUGUUGUUGAGGAUUCAUUCUGGUUUGACUCCAGUGGCUAAUGUCAUACUUCAUUUUUAUGCCUAUUUCUCUUUGUAGAAGCAGGACCAGAAGCCAGAGUCGCAGCAGAAGCAGGAGCCCGGGGCACUCCUUAAGACGAGAUUCAUCGACUUCGGAUAGAAUUAGAAAUAGAUCGG
Molecule: long non-coding RNA, 372 nt
Filed under: Linum usitatissimum (flax)
Lineage: Eukaryota; Viridiplantae; Streptophyta; Magnoliopsida; Malpighiales; Linaceae
Description: long non-coding RNA (LUSI_LNC001417)
Source: RNAcentral